This 66-nucleotide transfer RNA is filed under the name Petillopsis calcar. Its description in RNAcentral is "tRNA-Tyr". Lineage: Eukaryota; Metazoa; Arthropoda; Insecta; Hemiptera; Coreidae. The record is from RNAcentral.
GAUAGGGUGGCUGAAGUUUUAGGCUAUAAAUUGUAAAUUUAUAUAUGGUUAUACAACCUCCUAUCA